AGGAUGAAUGCUGGCGGCGCGCCUAACGACAUGCAAGUCGAGCGGAAAGGCCCUUCGGGGUACUCGAGCGGCGGACGGCUGAGUAACGCGUGGGAACAUGCCCCAAAGUGAGGAAUAACUGCCCGAAAGGGUAGCUAAUGCCGCAUAUGAUCUUAGGAUUAAAGGAUUUAUCCGCUUUGGGAGUGGCCCGCGUACGAUUAGGUAGUUGGUGAGGUAAAGGCUCACCAAGCCCACGAUCGUUAACUGGUCUGAGAGGAUGAUCAGUCAGACUGGAACUGAGACACGGUCCAGACUCCUACGGGAGGCAGCAGUGAGGAAUCUUCCACAAUGGGCGAAAGCCUGAUGGAGCGACGCCGCGUGCAGGAUGAAGGCCUUCGGGUUGUAAACUGCUUUUAUAAGUGAAGAUAUGACGGUAACUUAUGAAUAAGCACCGGCUAACUACGCGCCAGCAGCCGC
This 456-nucleotide ribosomal RNA is filed under the name uncultured bacterium. RNAcentral's name for it is "SSU rRNA". It matches the Rfam family "Bacterial small subunit ribosomal RNA", at positions 26 to 518 of the family's 1533-position model. The record is from RNAcentral.